UGGGGAAUAUUGGACAAUGGGCGAAAGCCUGAUCCAGCCAUGCCGCGUGUGUGAAGAAGGUCUUCGGGUUGUAAAGCACUUUAAGUUGGGAGGAAGGGCUGCAAGUUAAUACCUUGUAGUUUUGACGUUACCAACAGAAUAAGCACCGGCUAACUUCGUGCCAGCAGCCGCGGUAAUACGAAGGGUGCAAGCGUUAAUCGGAAUUACUGGGCGUAAAGCGCGCGUAGGUGGUUUGGUAAGAUGGAUGUGAAAUCCCCGGGCUCAACCUGGGAACUGCAUCCAUAACUGCCUGACUAGAGUACGGUAGAGGGUGGUGGAAUUUCCUGUGUAGCGGUGAAAUGCGUAGAUAUAGGAAGGAACACCAGUGGCGAAGGCGACCACCUGGACUGAUACUGACACUGAGGUGCGAAAGCGUGGGGAGCAAACA
RNAcentral lists this ribosomal RNA (427 nucleotides) under uncultured bacterium. RNAcentral describes it as "bacterial SSU rRNA". It matches the Rfam family "Bacterial small subunit ribosomal RNA", at positions 355 to 774 of the family's 1533-position model. The record is from RNAcentral.